Molecule: small RNA, 18 nt
Filed under: Arabidopsis thaliana (thale cress)
Lineage: Eukaryota; Viridiplantae; Streptophyta; Magnoliopsida; Brassicales; Brassicaceae
Description: Ath_wt_07913
Source: RNAcentral
CGACGCGGAUUACGGUGG